Molecule: microRNA precursor, 92 nt
Filed under: Marmota monax (woodchuck)
Lineage: Eukaryota; Metazoa; Chordata; Mammalia; Rodentia; Sciuridae
Source: RNAcentral
ACUCGAAGCAUCUGGGGAUCUUGUUAAAUUGCAGAUUUAGAUUCAGUGGGUCUGGGGUGGGCAUUUCUAACAAGCUCCCAGAUGCUGCUCCU